AAGCCUCCACUUCGUUCAGCCAAGUUCUCAAGGUAAACCUUGCUUUAAUGUCUCACCUUCUUCGAAUGAUCACCUGCAAUUACUGAAACAACAACACAAAAUUUCAGUUCCAGUUCAUUCGACACGCCGUAUCCGAAAAGCAAGUUAAAACAUUCAUUCAAUUCUCUGCCAAACUUUAAGGUAAGAGUAGCCUUGAUUCAUCAUCUCCUUCCAAUUACAACUUACAGUUAUUGAAAGAAACAAGUUUGAUCUUUCAGUUCAGUCAUUCCAGUUCUUUUAACUCAACAUCACAGCAGCCAACCAAGCCCAAAACAUUCGCAAGGUCAAGCGCGAGAGUAAGAACUAUUCAAGAAGUCACAGUACUUAGCAAAACUUUGCUAUCAGGUUGAGAUGUGAUGGGCGAUGAAGUGUUGCUGAGUGGAGUUUUUGUUGAACUUAAAGUAGGCUCAGAAAGGAUACAUGUCUUCAUACAUGUAUCUCAGUUAUGCAUUCCGCUGUAAACACUGAUUAUUUCAGUUACACCUUCCGUUGCAAA
Salvia miltiorrhiza (redroot sage) is the source of this 535-nucleotide long non-coding RNA. RefSeq lists it as uncharacterized. The transcript has 3 exons. NCBI's taxonomy places the organism in Eukaryota, Viridiplantae, Streptophyta, Magnoliopsida, Lamiales, Lamiaceae. The record is from RefSeq and is a predicted model, not a curated record.